RNAcentral lists this ribosomal RNA (1475 nucleotides) under Candidatus Pelagibacter sp. Its description in RNAcentral is "bacterial SSU rRNA". It matches the Rfam family "Bacterial small subunit ribosomal RNA". Lineage: Bacteria; Pseudomonadati; Pseudomonadota; Alphaproteobacteria; Candidatus Pelagibacterales; Candidatus Pelagibacteraceae. The record is from RNAcentral.
AAACUUGAGAGUUUGAUCAUGGCUCAGAACGUACGCUGGCGGCACGCCUAACACAUGCAAGUCGAACGAAGUAGCAAUACUUAGUGGCAGACGGGUGAGUAACAUGUAGGUAUCUGCCCUUUGGCCUGGAAUAACACGAGGAAACUUGUGCUAAUACCGGAUAAGUCUUUACGGAGAAAGCUUUAUGCACCAUUGGAUGAGCCUGCACUUGAUUAGUUUGUUGGUGGGGUAAUGGCCUACCAAGACUAUGAUCAAUAGCUGAUUUGAGAGGAUGAUCAGCCACAUUGGGACUGAGACACGGCCCAAACUCCUACGGGAGGCAGCAGUGGGGAAUCUUGCACAAUGGAGGAAACUCUGAUGCAGCGAUGCCGCGUGAGUGAAGAAGGCCCUUGGGUUGUAAAGCUCUUUCGUCGGGGAAGAAAAUGACUGUACCCGAAUAAGAAGGUCCGGCUAACUUCGUGCCAGCAGCCGCGGUAAUACGAAGGGACCUAGCGUAGUUCGGAAUUACUGGGCUUAAAGAGUUCGUAGGUGGUUGAAAAAGUUGGUGGUGAAAUCCCAGGGCUUAACUCUGGAACUGCCAUCAAAACUUUUCAGCUAGAGUAUGAUAGAGGAAAGCAGAAUUUCUAGUGUAGAGGUGAAAUUCGUAGAUAUUAGAAAGAAUACCAAUUGCGAAGGCAGCUUUCUGGAUCAUUACUGACACUGAGGAACGAAAGCAUGGGUAGCGAAGAGGAUUAGAUACCCUCGUAGUCCAUGCCGUAAACGAUGUGUGUUAGACGUUGGAAAUUUAUUUUCAGUGUCGCAGCGAAAGCGAUAAACACACCGCCUGGGGAGUACGACCGCAAGGUUAAAACUCAAAUGAAUUGACGGGGACCCGCACAAGUAGUGGAGCAUGUGGUUUAAUUCGAAGAUACGCGCAGAACCUUACCAACACUUGACAUGUUCGUCGCGACUUUAAGAGAUUAAAGUUUUCGGUUCGGCCGGACGAAACACAGGUGCUGCAUGGCUGUCGUCAGCUCGUGUCGUGAGAUGUUGGGUUAAGUCCCGCAACGAGCGCAACCCUCACUUUUAGUUGCCAUCAUUAAGUUGGGCACUCUGAAAGAACUGCCAGUGAUAAGCUGGAGGAAGGUGGGGAUGACGUCAAGUCCUCAUGGCCCUUACGUGUUGGGCUACACACGUGCUACAAUGGUAUCUACAACAGGAAGCAAGACUGCGAAGUUAAGCAAAUCCUUAAAAGAUACCUCAGUUCGGAUUGCACUCUGCAACUCGAGUGCAUGAAGCUGGAAUUACUAGUAAUCGUGGAUCAGCGUGCCACGGUGAAUGCGUUCCCGGGUCUUGUACACACCGCCCGUCACACCAUGGGAGUUGGUUCUACCUUAAGGCAAGGUUUUAAACCCUUGACCACGGUAUAGUCAGCGACUGGGGUGAAGUCGUAACAAGGUAGCCGUAGGGGAACCUGCGGCUGGAUUACCUCCUUU